RNAcentral lists this ribosomal RNA (252 nucleotides) under uncultured bacterium. Its description in RNAcentral is "partial 16S ribosomal RNA". It matches the Rfam family "Bacterial small subunit ribosomal RNA", at positions 524 to 776 of the family's 1533-position model. The record is from RNAcentral.
UACGUAGGUGGCAAGCGUUGUCCGGAAUUAUUGGGCGUAAAGCGCGCGCAGGCGGUCUCUUAAGUCUGAUGUGAAAGCCCACGGCUCAACCGUGGAGGGUCAUUGGAAACUGGGAGACUUGAGUGCAGAAGAGAAGAGUGGAAUUCCACGUGUAGCGGUGAAAUGCGUAGAGAUGUGGAGGAACACCAGUGGCGAAGGCGACUCUUUGGUCAAUACUGACGCUCAUGCACGAAAGCGUGGGGAGCAAACAGG